RNAcentral lists this long non-coding RNA (4052 nucleotides) under Citrus x clementina. RNAcentral describes it as "Citrus clementina (C. clementina) long non-coding RNA (CCLE_LNC001680)". The record is from RNAcentral. Lineage: Eukaryota; Viridiplantae; Streptophyta; Magnoliopsida; Sapindales; Rutaceae.
AACGGGUGGGCUAUAGCCUUGGUGAGGGGCGUGGGCGAAGUUCGUCCGCGGGACUCGGAAUGGCACCAGACUUGGCGGGCGGCCUCCGUGUGCCAAAAAUAGGCCACGGGCACAGCCGCGCCAAAAAGCAGCCCCCGAAGGUCGGGGUCCCAAGACCCCCCAGCGGAAAAAUGGCCAAAAAUCGGGUGGGCUAUAGCCUUGGUGGGGGGUGUGGGCGAAGUUCGUCCGCGGAACUCGGAAUGGCACCAGACUUGGCGGGCGGCCUCAGUGUGCCAAAAAUAGGCCACGGGCACAGCCGCGCCCAAAAACAAGCCCCCGAAGGUCGGGGUCCCAAGACCCCCCAGCGGAAAAAUGGCCAAAAAACGGGUGGGCUAUAGCCUUGGUCUGGGGCGUGGGCGAAGUUCGUCCGCGGGACUCGGAAUGGCACCAGACUUGGCGGGCGGCCUCCGUGUGCCAAAAAUAGGCCAUGGGCACAGCCUCGCCCAAAAACCAGGCCCCGAAGGUCGGGGUCCCAAGACCCCCCAGCGGAAAAAUGGCCAAAAAUCGGGUGGCCUAUAGCCUUGGUGGGGGUGUGGGCGAAGUUCGUCCGCGGAACUCGGAAUGGCACCAGACUUGGCGGGCGGCCUCAGUGUGCCAAAAAUAGGCCACGGGCACAGCCGCGCCCAAAAACAAGCCCCCGAAGGUCGGGGUCCCAAGACCCCCCAGCGGAAAAAUGGCCAAAAAACGGGUGGGCUAUAGCCUUGGUCUGGGGCGUGGGCGAAGUUCUUCCGCGGGACUCGGAAUGGCACCAGACUUGGCGGGCGGCCUCCGUGUUCCAAAAAUAGGCCAUGGGCACAGCCUCGCCCAAAAACCAGGCCCCGAAGGUCGGGGUCCCAAGACCCCCCAGCGGAAAAAUGGCCAAAAAACGGGUGGGCUAUAGCCUUGGUGGGGGGCGUGGGCGAAGUUGGUCCGCGGGACUCGGAAUGGCACCAGACUUGGCGGGCGGCAUCCGUGUGCCAAAAAUAGGCCACGGGCACAGCUGCGCCCAAAAACCAGCCCCCGAAGGUCGGGGUCCCAAGACCCCCCAGCGGAAAAAUGGCCAAAAAACGGGUGGGCUAUAGCCUUGGUGGGGGGCGUGGGCGAAGUUCGUCCGCGGGACUCGGAAGGGCACCAGACUUGGCGGGCGGCCUCCGUGUGCCAAAAAUAGGCCACGGGCACAGCCGCGCCAAAAAGCAGCCCCCGAAGGUCGGGGUCCCAAGACCCCCCAGCGGAAAAAUGGCCAAAAAACGGGUGGGCUAUAGCCUUGGUGGGGGGCGUGGGCGAAGUUCGUCCGCGGGACUCGGAAAGGGCACCAGACUUGGCGGGCGGCCUCCGUGUGCCAAAAAUAGCCACGGGCACAGCCGCGCCCAAAAAACAGCCCCCGAAUGUCGGGGUCCCAAGACCCCCCAGCGGAAAAAUAGCCAAAAAACGAGUGGGCUAUAGCCUUGGGGGGGGGCGUGGGCGAAGUUCGUCCGCGGGACUCGGAAUGGCUCCAGACUUGGCGGACGGCCUCCGUGUGCCAAAAAUAGGCCACGGGCACAGCCGCGCCCAAAAACCAGCCCCCGAAGGUCGGGGUCCCAAGACCCCCCAGCGGAAAAAUGACCAAAAAACGGGUGGGCUAUAGCCUUGGUGGGGGGCGUGGGCGAAGUUCGUCCGCGGGCCUCGGAAUGGCACCAGACUUGCCGGGCGGCCUCCGUGUGCCAAAAAUAGGCCACGGGCACAGCCGCGCCCAAAAAACAGCCCCCGAAGGUCGGGGUCCAAAGACCCCCCACCGGAAAAAUGGCCAAAAAACGGGUGGGCUAUAGCCUUGGCGGGGGGCGUGGGCGAAGUUCGUCCGCGGGACUCGGAAUGGCACCAGACUUGCCGGGCGGCCUCCGUGUGCCAAAAAUAGGCCACGGGCACAGCCGCGCCCAAAAAACAGCCCCCGAAGUUCGGGGUCCCAAGUCCCCCCAGCGGAAAAAUGGCCAAAAAACGGGUGGGCUAUAGCCUUGGUGGGGGGCGUGGGCGAAGUUCGUCCGCGGGACUCGGAAUGGCACCAGACUUGGCGGGCGGCCUCCGUGUGCCAAAAAUACGCCACGGGCACACCCGCGCCCAAAAACCAGCCCCCGAAGGUCGGGGUCCCAAGACCCCCCAGCGGAAAAAUGACCAAAAAACGGGUGGGCUAUAGCCUUGGUGGGGGGCGUGGGCGAAGUUCGUCCGCGGGCCUCGGAAUGGCACCAGACUUGCCGGGCGGCCUCCGUGUGCCAAAAAUAGGCCACGGGCACAGCCGCGCCCAAAAAACAGCCCCCGAAGGUCGGGGUCCAAAGACCCCCCAGCGGAAAAAUGGCCAAAAAACGGGUGGGCUAUAGCCUUGGUGGGGGGCGUGGGCGAAGUUCGUCCGCGGGACUCGGAAUGGCACCAGACUUGGCGGGCGGCCUCCGUGUUCCAAAAAUAGGCCACGGGCACAGCCGCGCCCAAAAACCAGCCCCCGAAGGUCGGGGUCCGAAGACCCCCCAGCGGAAAAAUGGCCAAAAAACGGGUGGGCUAUAGCCUUGGUCUGGGGCGUGGGCGAAGUUCGUCCGCGGGACUCGGAAUGGCACCAGACUUGGCGGACGGCCUCCGUGUGCCAAAAAUAGGCCACGGGCGCAGCCGUGCCCAAAAAACAGCCCCCGAAGGUCGGGGUCCCAAGACCCACCAGCGGAAAAAUGGCCAAAAAACGGGUGGGCUAUAGCCUUGGUGGGUGGCGUGGGCAAAGUUCGUCCGCGGGACUCGGAAUGGCACCAGACUUGGCGGGCGGCCUCCGUGUGCCAAAAAUAGGCCACGGGCACAGCCGCGCCCAAAAAAAAGCCCCCGAAGGUCGGGGUCCCAAGACCCCCCAGCGGAAAAAUGGCCAAAAAACGGGUGGGCUAUAGCCUUGGUGGGUGGCGUGGGCGAAGUUCGUCCGCGGGACUCGGAAUGGCACCAGACUUGGCGGGCGGCCUCCGUGUGCCAAAAAUAGGCCUCGGGCACAGCCGCGCCCAAAAAACAGCCCCCGAAGGUCGGGGUCCCAAGACCCCCCAGCGGAAAAAUAGCCAAAAAACGAGUGGGCUAUAGCCUUGGUGGGGGGCGUGGGCGAAGUUCGUCCGCGGGACUCGGAAUGGCUCCAGACUUAGCGGACGGCCUCCGUGUGCCAAAAAUAGGCCACGGGCACAGCCGCGCCCAAAAAACAGCCGCCGAAGGUCGGGGUCCCAAGACCCACCAGCGGAAAAAUGGCCAAAAAACGGGUGGGCUAUAGCCUUGGUGGGUGGCGUGGGCGAAGUUCGUCCGCGGGACUCGGAAUGGCACCAGACUUGGCGGGCGGCCUCCGUGUGCCAAAAAUAGGCCACGGGCACACCCGCGCCCAAAAAACAGCCCCCGAAGGACGGGGUCCCAAGACCCCCCAGCGGAAAAAUGGCCAAAAAACGGGUGGGCUAUAGCCUUGGUGGGGGGCGUGGGCGAAGUUCGUCCGCGGGACUCGGAAUGGCACCAGACUUGGCGGGCGGCCUCCGUGUGCCAAAAAUAGGCCACGGGCACAGCCGCGCCCAAAAAACAGCCCCCGAAGGUCGGGGUCCCAAGACCCCCCAGCGGAAAAAUGGCCAAAAAACGGGUGGGCUAUAGCCUUGGUGGGGGGCGUGGGCGAAGUUCGUCCGCGGGACUCGGAAUGGCUCCAGACUUGGCGGACGGCCUCCGUGUGCCAAAAAUAGGCCACGGGCACAGCCGCGCCCAAAAAACAGCCCCCGAAGGUCGGGGUCCCAAGACCCACCAGCGGAAAAAUGGCCAAAAAACGGGUGGGCUAUAGCCUUGGUGGGUGGCGUGGGCGAAGUUCGUCCGCGGGACUCGGAAUGGCACCAGACUUGGCGGGCGGCCUCCGUGUGCCAAAAAUAGGCCACGGGCACAGCCGCGCCCAAAAAACAGCCCCCGAAGGUCGGGGUCCCAAGACCCCCCAGCGGAAAAAUGGCCAAAAAACGGGUGGGCUAUAGCCUUGGUGGGGGGCGUGGGCGAAGUUCGUCCGCGGGACUCGGAAUGGCACCAGACUC